CUCAGGACGAACGCUGGCGGCGUGCCUAAUACAUGCAAGUAGAACGCUGAGGACUGGUGCUUGCACUGGUCUAAGGAGUUGCGAACGGGUGAGUAACGCGUAGGUAACCUACCUCAUAGCGGGGGAUAACUAUUGGAAACGAUAGCUAAUACCGCAUGACAAUAGGGUACACAUGUACCCUAUUUAAAAGGGGCAAAUGCUUCACUAUGAGAUGGACCUGCGUUGUAUUAGCUAGUUGGUAAGGUAACGGCUUACCAAGGCGACGAUACAUAGCCGACCUGAGAGGGUGAUCGGCCACACUGGGACUGAGACACGGCCCAGACUCCUACGGGAGGC
This 336-nucleotide ribosomal RNA is filed under the name Streptococcus uberis. Its description in RNAcentral is "bacterial SSU rRNA". It matches the Rfam family "Bacterial small subunit ribosomal RNA", at positions 23 to 349 of the family's 1533-position model. The record is from RNAcentral. Lineage: Bacteria; Bacillati; Bacillota; Bacilli; Lactobacillales; Streptococcaceae.